AUACGUAGGGUGCAAGCGUUAAUCGGAAUUACUGGGCGUAAAGCGUGCGCAGGCGGCUUUGUAAGACAGAGGUGAAAUCCCCGGGCUCAAACUGGGAACUGCCUUUGUGACUGCAAGGCUAGAGUACGGCAGAGGGGGAUGGAAUUCCGCGUGUAGCGGUGAAAUGCGUAGAUAUGCGGAGGAACACCGAUGGCGAAGGCAAUCCCCUGGGCCUGUACUGACGCUCAUGCACGAAAGCGUGGGGAGCAAACAGGAUUAGAUACCCGGGUAGUCCACGCCCAAAACGAUGUCAACUGGUUGUUGGGUCUUCAUUGACUCAGUAACGAAGCUAACGCGUGAAGUUGACCGCCUGGGGAGUACGGCCGCAAGGUUGAAACUUAAAUGAAUUGACGGGG
Molecule: ribosomal RNA, 395 nt
Filed under: uncultured bacterium
Lineage: Bacteria
Description: partial 16S ribosomal RNA
Rfam family: Bacterial small subunit ribosomal RNA
Source: RNAcentral